This 253-nucleotide ribosomal RNA is filed under the name uncultured bacterium. RNAcentral's name for it is "partial 16S ribosomal RNA". It matches the Rfam family "Bacterial small subunit ribosomal RNA", at positions 524 to 776 of the family's 1533-position model. The record is from RNAcentral.
UACGUAGGGACCGAGCGUUGUCCGGAAUCAUUGGGCGUAAAGAGCGUGUAGGCGGUCCGAUAAGUCCGCUCUGAAAGCCCGGGGCUCAACCCCGGGAGGCGGGCGGAUACUGUCGGGCUAGAGUCCGGAAGAGGCGAGUGGAAUUCCUGGUGUAGCGGUGGAAUGCGCAGAUAUCAGGAGGAACACCAAUAGCGAAGGCAGCUCGCUGGGACGUUACUGACACUGAGGCGCGAAAGCGUGGGGAGCGAACAGG